CCUACGGGGGGCUGCAGUGGGGAAUUUUGGACAAUGGGGGCAUCCCUGAUCCAGCCAUGCCGCGUGCGGGAAGAAGGCCUUCGGGUUGUAAACCGCUUUUGUCAGGAGAGAAAUCUCUUGGGCUAAUACCCUGAGAGGAUGACGGUACCUGAAGAAUAAGCACCGGCUAACUACGUGCCAGCAGCCGCGGUAAUACGUAGGGUGCAAGCGUUAAUCGGAAUUACUGGGGGGGAAUGGUCCGGACAGGGUUGAAAUCCCCGGGCUUAACCUGGGAACUGCACUUGUGACUGCACGGCUAGAGUACGGCAGAGGGGGAUGGAAUUCCGCGUGUAGCAGUGAAAUGCGUAGAUAUGCGGAGGAACACCGAUGGCGAAGGCAGUCCCCUGGGCCUGUACUGACGCUCAUGCACGAAAGCGUGGGGAGCAAACAGGAUUAGAUACCCGGGUAGUC
RNAcentral lists this ribosomal RNA (450 nucleotides) under uncultured bacterium. RNAcentral's name for it is "partial 16S ribosomal RNA". It matches the Rfam family "Bacterial small subunit ribosomal RNA", at positions 338 to 795 of the family's 1533-position model. The record is from RNAcentral.